RNAcentral lists this ribosomal RNA (396 nucleotides) under uncultured bacterium. RNAcentral describes it as "partial 16S ribosomal RNA". It matches the Rfam family "Bacterial small subunit ribosomal RNA", at positions 338 to 731 of the family's 1533-position model. The record is from RNAcentral.
CCUACGGGUGGCAGCAGUGAGGAAUAUUGGUCAAUGGUCGCAAGACUGAACCAGCCAAGCCGCGUGAGGGAUGACGGUACUCUGAGUUGUAAACCUCUUUUGUAAGGGAACAAAGGCGGGUACGUGUCCCUGUCUGAGUGUACCUUACGAAUAAGCAUCGGCUAACUCCGUGCCAGCAGCCGCGGUAAUACGGAGGAUUCGAGCGUUAUCCGGAUUUAUUGGGUUUAAAGGGUGCGUAGGCGGUCUGUUAAGUCAGCGGUGAAAGUCCGGGGCUCAACCCCGGCCUUGCAGUUGAUACUGGUAGUCUUGAGUGGAGUAGAGGUAGGCGGAAUGUGUGGUGUAGCGGUGAAAUGCUUAGAGAUCAGGCAGAACGCCGAUUGCGAAGGCAGCUUGCCG